RNAcentral lists this ribosomal RNA (468 nucleotides) under uncultured bacterium. RNAcentral describes it as "partial 16S ribosomal RNA". It matches the Rfam family "Bacterial small subunit ribosomal RNA", at positions 28 to 507 of the family's 1533-position model. The record is from RNAcentral.
GACGAACGCUGGCGGCGUGCUUAACACAUGCAAGUCGAACGGAAAGGCCCUGCUUUUGUGGGGUGCUCGAGUGGCGAACGGGUGAGUAACACGGGAGUAACCUGCCCUUGACAUUGGGAUAACUUCAGGAAACUGGGGCUAAUACCGGAUAGGAGCUCCUGCUGCAUGGUGGGGGUUGGAAAGUUUCGGCGGUUGGGGAUGGACUCGCGGCUUAUCAGCUUGUUGGUGGGGUAGUGGCUUACCAAGGCUUUGACGGGUAGCCGGCCUGAGAGGGUGACCGGCCCCAUUGCGACUGCGAUACGGCCCAGACUCCUACGGGAGGCAGCAGUGGGGAAUAUUGCACCAUGGGCGGAAGCCUUAUGCAGCACCGCCGCGUGCGGGAUGACGGCCUUCGCGUUGUAAACCGCUUUCGCCUGUGUCGAAGCGUGAGUGACGGUAAUGGGUAAAGAAGCACCGGCUAACUACGUG